GUGCCAGCCGCCGCGGUAAUACGGAGGGUGCAAGCGUUAAUCGGAAUUACUGGGCGUAAAGCGCACGCAGGCGGUUUGUUAAGCUAGAUGUGAAAGCCCCGGGCUCAACCUGGGACGGUCAUUUAGAACUGGCAGACUAGAGUCUUGGAGAGGGGAGUGGAAUUCCAGGUGUAGCGGUGAAAUGCGUAGAGAUCUGGAGGAACAUCAGUGGCGAAGGCGACUCCCUGGCCAAAGACUGACGCUCAGGUGCGAAAGUGUGGGUAGCGAACAGGAUUAGAUACCCUAGUAGUCC
RNAcentral lists this ribosomal RNA (292 nucleotides) under uncultured bacterium. RNAcentral describes it as "partial 16S ribosomal RNA". It matches the Rfam family "Bacterial small subunit ribosomal RNA", at positions 505 to 796 of the family's 1533-position model. The record is from RNAcentral.